UGACUUGGCAGGUCUCGAACCUGCAACUUCCUGAUCCGAAGUCAGACGCCUUAUCCAUUAAGUCACAAGAUU
This 72-nucleotide transfer RNA is filed under the name Fasciola hepatica (liver fluke). RNAcentral's name for it is "tRNA-Arg". Lineage: Eukaryota; Metazoa; Platyhelminthes; Trematoda; Plagiorchiida; Fasciolidae. The record is from RNAcentral.